Molecule: ribosomal RNA, 1053 nt
Filed under: Treponema denticola
Lineage: Bacteria; Pseudomonadati; Spirochaetota; Spirochaetia; Treponematales; Treponemataceae
Description: bacterial SSU rRNA
Rfam family: Bacterial small subunit ribosomal RNA
Source: RNAcentral
AACGAACACUGGCGGCGCGUCUUAAGCAUGCAAGUCGAACGGUAAGGGAGAGCUUGCUCUCCCCUAGAGUGGCGGACUGGUGAGUAACGCGUGGGUGACCUGCCCUGAAGAUGGGGAUAGCUAGUAGAAAUAUUAGAUAAUACCGAAUGUGCUCAUUUACAUAAAGGUAAAUGAGGAAAGGAGCUACGGCUCCGCUUCAGGAUGGGCCCGCGUCCCAUUAGCUGGUUGGUGAGGUAAAGGCUCACCAAGGCAACGAUGGGUAUCCGGCCUGAGAGGGUGAACGGACACAUUGGGACUGAGAUACGGCCCAAACUCCUACGGGAGGCAGCAGCUAAGAAUCUUCCGCAAUGGACGAAAGUCUGACGGAGCGACGCCGUGUGGAUGAAGAAGGCCGAAAGGUUGUAAAAUUCUUUUGCAGAUGAAGAAUAAGAAGAAGAGGGAAUGCUUCUGUGAUGACGGUAAUCAUGCGAAUAAGCCCCGGCUAAUUACGUGCCAGCAGCCGCGGUAACACGUAAGGGGCGAGCGUUGUUCGGAAUUAUUGGGCGUAAAGGGUAUGUAGGCGGUUAGGUAAGCCUGGUGUGAAAUCUACGAGCUCAACUCGUAAACUGCAUUGGGUACUGCUUGACUUGAAUCACGGAGGGGAAACCGGAAUUCCAAGUGUAGGGGUGGAAUCUGUAGAUAUGUGGAAGAACACCGGUGGCGAAGGCGGGUUUCUGGCCGAUGAUUGACGCUGAUAUACGAAGGUGCGGGGGAGCAAACAGGAUUAGAUACCCUGGUAGUCCGCACAGUAAACGAUGUACACUAGCGUGUCGGGGCAAGAGCUUCGGUGCCGACGCAAACGCAUCAAGUGUACCGCCUGGGAAGUAUGCCCGCAACGGUGAAACUCAAAGGAAUUGACGGGGGCUCACACAAGCGGUGGAGCAUGUGGUGUAAUGCGAUGAUACGCGAGAAACCCUUACCUGGGGUUUGACAUCAAGGAGCGAUUGACAUAGCAGAUAUGGGCAGCGUUAGCAUUUACGGGCCUCGUUGAAGCAGGGUGCCUGCCAUUGGGCC